Molecule: long non-coding RNA, 1341 nt
Filed under: Felis catus (domestic cat)
Lineage: Eukaryota; Metazoa; Chordata; Mammalia; Carnivora; Felidae
Description: lncRNA (ENSFCAG00000050485.1)
Source: RNAcentral
GCCUAGGGGCGCCUGGGUGGCGCAGUUGGUUAAGCGUCCGACUUCAGCCAGGUCACGAUCUCGCGGUCUGUGAGUUCGAGCCCCGCGUCAGGCUCUGGGCUGAUGGCUCGGAGCCUGGAGCCUGUUUCCGAUUCUGUGUCUCCCUCUCUCUCUGCCCCUCCCCCGUUCAUGCUCUGUCUCUCUCUGUCCCAAAAAUAAAUAAAAAAUUAAAAAAAAAAAAAAAGAGGCAGAGGUGCCUCCUUCAUGUUCUUUUUUCCCCCUCCCUCUAGCUGGAUUCCCCAGGCAACCAACAGUGAAGGAUGACUGAACUUGGAGAUGGAAGGAAUCUGGGUCUCUCAAUUACCAUGUGGAAGCAAGGGAAGCGACAGGCCACCCUCCCUCAGGACACUUCCCGGAUGUGGAGCCAAAGUAAACCAACGGAGCUUCUCCAGAGGAUGCUUCAAGGCUACGGCAAACGCUGGCUAUUGCAGACAAAGGAACGGGCCAGUGGGAGAUGUUUUUGUUUAAGUACCUAAGACAGUCACAAAUUCUACCGCAAGUAUCACCAUCGGCUCUGUUUGCACAGACAAACAAAUCUCUGAAAUCUACCUUUUUAAAUGGAGGAAUGCUCCAAGUUUACUGUCAGCAGCUGACUCGCAGGGAUGCCACAGGCCAGGAGCAAGCUGUCACUGUAUUAGCCUCUGGCUUGUCCUUGGCAUGGAGAAGCCUUCUUUUUUCCCUCUGUCUACAUGGAAGCUUCAUGGCUCAGUGGAAAGAGACCAGGUUUGGACACAGGCACAAUUCAGCCUAGGUUGGUAAACUCGGGCCAAUGUACAAAUCCUAUGUGUUGCCUUUUUUUGGAUCACCCAUGAACUAAGAAUAGAUUUUGCAUGUUUAAAUUUUUUUUAAAAGUUUAUUUAUAUUCGAGAGACAGCAAGAGACAGAGCACGAGCAGAGGAGAGGCAGAGAAACAGGGAGGCACAGAAUCCGAAGCAGGCUCCAGGCUCUGAGAUGUCAGCACAGAGCCCGACGCGGGGCUGGAACUCACGAACUCCAAGAUCAUCACCUGAGCGGAAGUCGGACGCUUAACUGACUGAGCCACCCGGGGGCCCCUAGAUUUUACAUGUUUAAAUGGUUGAGGGUUACCUGGGUGGCUCAGUCGGUUAAGCAUCCGACUCAGCUCAGGUCGUGAUCUCACAGUUUGUGGGUUUGAGCCCCACGUCGGGCUCUGUGCUGACUGCUCAGAACCUGAAGCCUGCUUCAGAUUGUGUGUCCCUCUCCCUCUGCCCCUCCCCGCUCACAUUCUGUCUCUCUCUCUCAAAAACAAAUAAACACUGAAAAAUGUUUAAAUGGUUGAAAAAA